Molecule: non-coding RNA, 27 nt
Filed under: Mus musculus (house mouse)
Lineage: Eukaryota; Metazoa; Chordata; Mammalia; Rodentia; Muridae
Source: RNAcentral
AGGACUGGAACUCAGGUCAGAAAGCAG